Molecule: transfer RNA, 73 nt
Filed under: Rubrobacter sp.
Lineage: Bacteria; Bacillati; Actinomycetota; Rubrobacteria; Rubrobacterales; Rubrobacteraceae
Description: tRNA-Ala
Rfam family: tRNA
About the family: Transfer RNA (tRNA) molecules are approximately 80 nucleotides in length. Their secondary structure includes four short double-helical elements and three loops (D, anti-codon, and T loops).
Source: RNAcentral
GGGGCCGUAGCUCAGCUGGGAGAGCGCCGCGCUGGCAGCGCGGAGGUCGUCGGUUCGAACCCGUCCGGCUCCA